GAAAUCUGGCGCAAGCCCGAGUUGUAAUUUGUAGAGGAUGCUUCUGGGUAGCGACCGAUCUAAGUUCCUUGGAACAGGACGUCAUAGAGGGUGAGAAUCCCGUAUGUGACCGGCCCGCACCCUUUACGUAGCUCCUUCGACGAGUCGAGUUGUUUGGGAAUGCAGCUCUAAAUGGGAGGUAAAUUUCUUCUAAAGCUAAAUACCGGCCAGAGACCGAUAGCGCACAAGUAGAGUGAUCGAAAGAUGAAAAGUACUUUGGAAAGAGAGUUAAAAAGCACGUGAAAUUGUUGAAAGGGAAGCGCCUGCAACCAGACUUCGCGGCAGUGUUCCGCCGGUCUUCUGACCGGUUCAUUCUCUGUCGCGAGGCCAUCAUCGUCUGGGCCCGCCGGAUAAGACCUGAGGAAUGUGGCUCCCCCUCGGGGGAGUGUUAUAGCCUCUGGUGAUGCGGCGUGGCUCGGGCGAGGUCCGCGCUUCGGCAAGGAUGAUGGCGUAAUGGUUGUCGGCGGCCCGUCUUGAAACACGGACCAAGGAGUCUAACAUCUAUGCGAGUGUUCGGGUGUCAAACCCCUACGCGUAAUGAAAGUGAACGGAGGUGGGAACCGCAAGGUGCACCAUCGACCGAUCCUGAUGUCCUCGGAUGGAUUUGAGUAAGAGCAUAGCUGUUGGGACCCGAAAGAUGGUGAACUAUGCCUGAAUAGGGUGAAGCCAGAGGAAACUCUGGUGGAGGCUCGCAGCGGUUCUGACGUGCAAAUCGAUCGUC
This 760-nucleotide ribosomal RNA is filed under the name Cercospora cf. brassicicola CMM 2889. RNAcentral's name for it is "eukaryotic LSU rRNA". It matches the Rfam family "Eukaryotic large subunit ribosomal RNA", at positions 117 to 906 of the family's 3401-position model. Lineage: Eukaryota; Fungi; Ascomycota; Dothideomycetes; Mycosphaerellales; Mycosphaerellaceae. The record is from RNAcentral.